AACGAACGCUGGCGGCAUGCCUAACACAUGCAAGUCGAACGAGACCUUCGGGUCUAGUGGCGCACGGGUGCGUAACGCGUGGGAACCUGCCUUUAGGUUCGGAAUAACUCAGAGAAUUUUGAGCUAAUACCGGAUGAUGUCUUCGGACCAAAGAUUUAUCGCCUUUAGAUGGGCCCGCGUUGGAUUAGCUAGUUGGUGGGGUAAAGGCCUAACAAGGCGACGAUCCAUAGCUGGUAUGAGAGGAUGAUCAGCCACACUGGGAGUGGGACACGGCCCAGACUCCUACGGGAGGGAGGAGUGGGGAAUAUUGGAAAAUGGGCGAAAGCCUGAUCCAGCAAGGACGGGUGAGUGAUGAAGGCCGUAGGGUUGUAAAGCUCUUUUAACCGAGAUGAUAAUGACAGUAUCGGGAGAAUAAGCUCCGGCUAACUCCGUG
This 433-nucleotide ribosomal RNA is filed under the name uncultured bacterium. Its description in RNAcentral is "partial 16S ribosomal RNA". It matches the Rfam family "Bacterial small subunit ribosomal RNA", at positions 29 to 507 of the family's 1533-position model. The record is from RNAcentral.